AAAAAAUUUUGGUUUCCAUGAAUCACGAUGCAUUACCUUCUUGGUUUCUAUGAAUCUCUCUCUCUGUUUCUCAGUCUCUGCAACUCUCGCCUUCAAUCGCGUAAAGCAAGUUCAAAAUCCUUGCGUGUCCGAAACUUUCACAGGGACUCCAAGUUUGUUUAAGAGCUUGGGGUUGGGUAGGAGAUUGAUAGUGGCCAGAGUGAGUGCAGCAGAGAUAAGUUUGGUGCUGCCUCUUCUUCCAUGUUUAUGAGGAGUGGUCUCUCUGGGAGUCAACCUGGGAAAGCCUAGCGAAUUCUUCGACGGCAUAUUCGACUGCAUCCAUGAGAUCACUGCUGCUCUCCCCUUCACUAGGAUGAUCGAUUCCUCAGCUUACAGAGUCGAUACCAUGUCCCGUCUCGCCCAAUGGAAGAUCGACAGCUUGGCUUCCUGCACGUAACGGAAAUCCGAUCCUUUCAAGAUGGGCAACUGGAAUUGGCAUUUAUCGGAAGAGAAGAAUCGGGUAUUGUCCAUUAAACUACACCCAGAAAUAUCAAAUCUAACGAGAGACAACCCCCCAAUUGCAUCCUUCAUCAUUCUAGUCAUAUGUUCUUUGGGAGAUUGAAAGCCACUGGUUCAUCCGGGAAUAACAAACAAACAGAUAAAAAGUAACAACGAUUUUUUUUGGGUGAUUGAUACUCCGUUAACCGGGAAGUUCAUUAUUGACGUCGAGUUCCUUGAUUUGAAGAUCUCAUCGCCAAACUAUACAGGCUUUCACAGACAUGUCAAUUGAAGCUUGCCAGGCUUUCCUGAACUACAUCUAUGGCAACAUCCAACAGGAUGAGUUUCUGACCCACCGGCUUGCACUUCUCCGUGCAGGUGAAAAGUACGACAUCUCUGACCUGAAAAAAGCAUGCAAUGAGAGCCUUCUAGAAGACAUUGACACUAAAGGCUUCUAAAAUUUGCUCAAGGAAAAGAUUUGAUGAACAUCGACAUAUCAGGAAUCCUUGCAUUAGAAGAGCUUCAUAUGGUUUCUCAUGGUAUAGAAGCCAAAGAUGAACAAUAUCUGAUUGCCCUGAAACCUUGCUUGUAAGGAGUUGCUUCAUAAGGAGUUGUUUUCAUCAGGAAUCCUUGCAUUAGAAGAGCUUCAUAAGGAGUUGCUUGUAAUCCAUGUACAGGUAGGGGUGUUUUAGGAUUAUCAAUUCCUGGUUGCCCUGAAACGUUCCAAUUAUUCCAGCAAGAUGAACAAUCCGGGGAAGAAGGUUGUAGAAGCCAAAGAUCAGGGGAUGAAGGCAGUAGCAGUCAAAGAUCAAGGGAACAAGAAAUUGUCAUAGAUCAAUAAAUUGUAUUUGAACAAUUUGCAAAUUGCAAGUGAAAAAACAGUGUU
Molecule: long non-coding RNA, 1363 nt
Organism: Nelumbo nucifera (sacred lotus)
Lineage: Eukaryota; Viridiplantae; Streptophyta; Magnoliopsida; Proteales; Nelumbonaceae
Source: RefSeq, a predicted model, not a curated record